RNAcentral lists this long non-coding RNA (1783 nucleotides) under Homo sapiens (human). Its description in RNAcentral is "HSALNT0025212". Lineage: Eukaryota; Metazoa; Chordata; Mammalia; Primates; Hominidae. The record is from RNAcentral.
GUGAGCCGAGAUCGCACCACUGCACUCCAGCCCGGGCAACAGAGCGAGACUCCGUCUAAAAAAAAAAAAAAAAAGAAAGAAAGAAAGAAAAAGAAAAAGAGCCGGGAGCAGUGUGGGCUCAAGCCUGUAAUCCCAGCACCUUGGGAGGCCAAGGCGGGCGGAUCACCUGAGGUCGGGAGUUUGAGACCAGCCUGACCAACAUGGUCUCUACUAAAAAUACAAGAUUAGCCGGGUUCGGUGGCAGGCGCCUGUAAUCCCAGCUACUAGAGGGGCUCAGGCAGGAGAAUCGCUUGAGCCUUGGAGGCAGAGGUUGCGGUGAGCCGAGAUUGCGCCAUUGCACUCCAGCCUGGGCAACAAGAGCAAAACUCCACCUCAAAAAAAAAAAAAAAGGGAAAAUGAAAAAGAAAAAAAAGGACAAAGGUACACAAGGAAACUGUUGGAGGUAAUGGAUAUGUUCAUUUUCCUGAAUGUGGUGAUGGUAGCAUGCGUGUGUAUGUCUGUCCAAACUCACCAAAUAUGUAUAGAUUUAUUAGUUAUAUGCAGGGUUUUCUUUUUUUUUGAGACAAAGUUUCACUUUGUUGCCCAGGCUGGAGUGCAGUGGAACCGUCUCAGCUCACUACAACCCCCGCCUCCCGGGUUCAAGCAAUUCUUGUGCCUCAGCCUCCCUCGUAGCUGGGAUCACAGGCGUUCACCACCACCCUCGGCUGAUUUUUUUUUUUUUUUUUUUUUUGUAUUUUUGUAGAGACAGGGUUUCACCAUGUUGCCCAGGCUGGUCGUGAACUACUGAGCUCAGGCAAUCCACCCAUCUCGGCCUCCCAGAGUGCUAGGAUUACAGGCGUGAGCCACCGUGCCCGGCCUAUAUGCAGUUAUCGUAUACCAAUUAUACCUCCAUAAAGCUGGGGAGGUUGGGGGAGGAAGACAAAAGAAUUCAGGCCUGCGGGGAAUGAUGGGAGUGGGUAGGAGAGGAGAGAGGGGAGAGAGGAAAACACAGAUCACCAGCAGCCUCGUGGGUGGUUUUGUAAAGGACUUUGGCUUUUGCUUUCUGCUAUGGACUGAACGUUUGUGUCCCCACAAAAGUCCUGUGUUGAAACCUAAUCCCCCAUGAUAUUAGGAGCUGAGGCCUUUGGAGGCAACGAGGUCAUGAGCGUGGAGCCCUCAUCAAUGGGAUUAGAAAAUUUAUACAGAGCUGAAGAGACCAGCGUUCGUGUCUUCUGCCCUGUGAGGACACAGCAAGAAGGUGCCCUGGGUGGGGAGGCGGGCCCUCACCAGUCACUGAGGCGCUGGGCUUCUUAGCUUCCAGAACUGCGACCAAUAAGUGUCUGUUGUUUAUAAGCUACUCGGCUUAUGAUGUUUGUUAGAAGAGCCCAAAUGGACUAAAACACCUCCAGGAGGAGGGAAGACAUAGAACGUUGUUAGCAGAGUGACAUGAGGGGACAAGAAUGCUAAAUUAAAAGGACUCGAGAGGCUGUUCUAUUUAACUUGGUUUUUGUUUGUUUGUUUUGAUCUGGAGUGCAGUGGCGCAAUUUCGGUUCACUGCAACCUCUGCCUUCCGGGUUCAAGCAAUUCUCCUGCCUCAGCCUCUCUAGUAGGUGGGGUUACAGGCGUUGGCCACCACGCCCAGCUAAUUAUUUGUAUUUUUAGUGGAGACGGGGUUUCACCAUGUUGGUCAGACUGGUAUUGAACUCCCGACCUCAAGGGAUCCACCCGCCUUGGCCUCUCAAAGUGCUGGGAUUACAGGUGUGCGCCACCUCCAGCUAAUUUUUGCAUUUUUAGUAGAGACAGG